RNA transcript from Ricinus communis (castor bean), 4107 nucleotides. It is a transcript of the gene named bifunctional adenosine 5'-phosphosulfate phosphorylase/adenylylsulfatase HINT4, with no coding region annotated. The transcript is spliced from 8 exons. The record is from RefSeq and is a predicted model, not a curated record. NCBI's taxonomy places the organism in Eukaryota, Viridiplantae, Streptophyta, Magnoliopsida, Malpighiales, Euphorbiaceae.
AAUAAUUAAAAUUAAGCGUCUAAAUAAAAAUUUGAAACUUAACAGCCAAUAGUGAUUUUGGGGUAUUGAUCUUAGAAAUUAGGGCAGAUGGCGGGAGCGACGACAUCAUCUUGUAUCUUCUGUCAGAUUGCCUGCAAUUCCACCACACUUCUUUACUCUGAUGACAAGGUUGUCGCAUUUCAAGACAUCAAGCCUGCUGCUUUCAGGCAUUACUUGGUGAUUCCAGUCAAGCACAUUCCGACUGUCAGGGACCUCCAGGGGAGAGAAGAAGAUUACACUUUGGUAAGACAUAUGUUAACUGUGGGACAAACACUGUUACACCGGGAUGCUCCUCAAUCGAAACAGUACAGAUUUGGUUUUCAUCAGCCUCCUUUAAAUAGUGUUGACCAUCUACACCUUCACUGUUUGGCAUUACCCUUCAUACCCAGAUGGAAACGUGUAAAAUACAUGUCUUUAGGACCACUUGGAUUUAUUGAAGCUGAAAAGUUGCUAGAGAAGAUAAAGCCUGCAUAACCAGUUAUUGCUUAGGGUGCGCAUCCAAUUCUAAUAUGACACUGCUGUAACCUACACUCUUCAUUGGUACUCCUGCUUCAGAGUUUUGGAUAAUUACUUUGUUGCUGAUAUGAAGGUCUAUGUCCCCUGCUUCUCUACAUUUAUUUGGUGAUCAGCAACAUUAACCGACGAGCUAUUGUGGUCACCCAUCCUAUUACAUAGUAAAUAAAAAAGGCUAAUAUUAUCAGCUUCCCUCCAACUUCUAUACAUGUGGUAUCUUCAUUAACAUCUAAACUCUCUUUUUACACUGCCACUUUAGGUACAUAGAUAGACUCAUUUACCUGAAGCUUAUUUCCAAAAUAGUUGGAAAGAAGCACUCUUAGCUGAAGGUAAUAUGAUCUCUGGAACAAAAUAAUUGAUUCUGUAAGUGCAAGACGUAAUGUGGUUCAGGGACAGCUAAUUUAGGAGAAGCAGAGGGCCUAGAUAUGCUUUCAGCUGGACUUGCUACGUUGGAGUUAUUUGCAGAAUAGUAUGAAUUUCCGGAACCGUAAUCUUUCAAAACGCGCCUUCCAUUAGAGGGGAUAAUCAGUGUGGUCAAAUGGAGAUCAAGUUCUGAGUGAUGACAGAUUCUUACUAUUAAUUUGCCUCUUUUUCUUGUGUGAUUGUACUGUUGGGUUGUGAUGUCAUUGGGCUUAUUUCGGAAUAGAAGUACAUAAACGGAGGAAAAUAUAUCUUUUUUGUGAAAAUAACUUACAGCAUCUCUAAUGACAUAGUCAUAAAUGCCAAUAUGGUGAGCCUUCAGAAAUCAGAACCAAUAUAGCACAAACUGCUCAAAUAUGGUGCAAUUAAAUUGAAGAACUGAUGCAAAUCCUUUAAAGUGCUCCGUUUCAUAGUUUGAUAUUGUUAUGCUAUCAUCUCUAGUAUUGAAGCCUUUUGGUGUUAGUAUUUUAUAAAGGCUAAGUGGUCCUCUGUUGGGUGGUGCUACAUUCUAUCUAGAGCAGGGGUAGCCAAUGAAAAGGUGAGUGAAGAAGUGAGACUUGAAUGCUCACACGUGCAUGCACUCAUUGGGGACCUAUUUAUUGUGGUUUCUUGGAGCUAUUAUUGUAUUUGUAAUCUGGUUCAGGACACUUUCAAGAUAUAUUCUUAGUUAUUAGGUUUCAUCUUAUCUUGUACCAUGGAUUUACUAAUAGUAAACUAGUUUCACUUAAUUAAUCAUAAAAGUCUUAUUCGGAUGGAGUUUUUUACGCAGCUAGAAUCCAGAAGGCUGCAUGCCUUAGUUUCAGAUUUAUGAUUGAGAAGAACAAAUAGCAAUAGCAUUGGGGCGUGGGAUGUAUUUUAGUGGAAAUAAACUUUCAAAUUCGCAGGAAAAAAAUCCAGUUUUUGAAAGAAUUGAUUUUUGUGAUGCGUACUGGAUUGUGAUAAUGACUUGUCAACUUUCAAAGUAUUCAGUAGAUUUGACUUUAGAAACUUGGUCCACAUAAUUAUUGGCUCUAGUAGGUAUUGAACAUUCAACCGAAGUCCCUGUUUUUAAUCCUUGAAUCAUGGCCAUCGAGUUGAGGAAUGGAUUUAAUAUGCACCAUCAUUAGCUAGCCAUACCACAUAUCCUAUUGUUUAUUCUGCCAGACAGAAUGUGACAAAACUUAGUAUUAUAAGAUAGGUGUACCAUCCAUUAGGUAAAGCACUUUGCUAUACAAAAUUCAGUUAAAGCUAGCUAUGUUUAUAGGUCUGUUGGCCAACAAGAGAGAACUAUUUGGAAAGAUGAGCAUUAACAAUUGUACACAGAAAAAGGAUGAGCAUAAACAUGAUUACCAUAAAUUAAAGAGGGAAGAGGCAGAUAAUAAUCGGUAGAUGGAAAUAUAGAGUAUUGCAUAUAUAUAAUUGGCACUGUUUGCUAACAUUGUGUAGCUGGCUCUUAAUGGACCUUUCUUUUCUUCCUUAAAGUAUGGCAGCCAUGAUUUGCAUGAAAUUCCCAAGGUAUGGUUGAUGUUUAAGACGUCCUUUUCAAGCAUGGCUUUAUAUAUGGUUGUGGGUUCUCAAGUACAGCUGUAUAAUAUGUAUUUAUAAGAAAAUAUAGUCACUGAUCUUAUGAAAAGAAAGUAUUGUAUACGUAUUUGUUUGAUCGAAUAUCUAUGCUUGACGACCUGCCCGUGAAGGCUUAUCAUCAAAUGCAAGGAAGCGUGUGAUGCUUGCUUCAUCUUUGGAAAAAAAUGUCUUACAAUUGAAAAACAAAUCCAACAAUGAUUUUUAGGUGCCUAUUUAUCAAGGAUAUGUAGAUCUGUUCUUGAGAUUUUAACUUUUCAAAUAUAAGCUUGAGCUUGCUAUAGGUUAGUGUUUCUUUAGGUAUAAAAUUUAAAUCUAAGUAUUUCCUACUAUUAAUAAAUCUUUGUAGAAAAUAGAGUUAGAUAUGUGCUUGUUCAUACUUCUCCAUUGCUUUUGUACUAAAAUCUUUCUUGAAAUUGUCACUUGCAAAAUUUAGACUUCUAAAUUAAUUUAAGUCUAAUAUUAGUAAGCAGAGUUCGCAUAUGAAUUGCUUAUGCGAGCAAGCUUUCCCAAUAAGUGACCAUUGACAAUAUCUGGUCAGCCUUGAGUUCUCAUUGUUUUUUUCUUAAAGCUCCAUGUAGAAACGGGGACGAAUAUAAUGAGAGUGAUUAAUCAGUAUUUGAGAGAGGCUCUUGCCAGAACUAAAGUGGUGCAUUUAGUUUUGAGGGUCACAUGCGGGACUUAUCUCAUUGCUGCUAGGGGCAGACUUGCUUACGAUCGAAAAUUUGAUCACUUGAUUAGCAGUUGCCAUACUAACUAGUAAUAACAGAUGCCAUUAAGCAUAGUCCUCUUUUUCCCUUUGCUGGUCUUAUCUAAUUGUUGAUAUUUUUAGGGAAUAUCUUGAUGAGGCAGUUAGGUAUGGGGAGAAAGGGUAACUUCUUGUCUGAAUUGACCAAUAGGUUGGGUCGGCAGUUCUGAGCCUUCGUUUCUUUAGUUAGCUACCGCGGGCUCACGAGAAUCUGAACCCGAAUCAAAAAAAUUAAAGAGAUGGGAUGUGGGAACAGCCUAAUCCUUUAGGGUUUCACUUCAGUCUGAUAUUUGGGUCCAUUGAGAACUGCCAUUUUGGCACGGAGUACAGUUCUUUGCCAGUUCAUCCUUUCUCAUGCCACUAUUUCUGCCAAACUUAUAUGCCUCGGAAAACUCUUCCUAGAGUUCGUAGUAUUAAUGGGUUCUGUCCAUGUACGCAUUUUCUAACAUUAUCCUAAGUUAUAUAUGUGUCGGUAUUUAGAAGGGUGUUCAGUGUUCACCAUAACCCUCACGCGUGCCUUUAUAACUAUGAUAGAUCAUCUAUGAAGUGAAUAUCAUCACGGUGGGUGAUGAGAUAUCUGUAGACAAUCAUUUAGCUACUCCUAUAGAUGUCUAUUUCAGGGGGCCCUUGAGGCAUGAAAGCUUAUCUUAUUGAACUCAAGAUUUGGAACGAAAAUUUGUUGAGAAAAUGCUGCUUUAAGCAGUUUGACAGCUAUUUGUUUGCUCUAAAAUAGUGACAGCUUGUAUGGAUGAGUUCAUAUCCUUUGCAUUGUAAAAAACUGAAAGCUAACACUUUCUGCGACGUUAAAUGGUAUUACUUUUAAUUCA